Molecule: ribosomal RNA, 468 nt
Filed under: uncultured bacterium
Lineage: Bacteria
Description: partial 16S ribosomal RNA
Rfam family: Bacterial small subunit ribosomal RNA
Source: RNAcentral
GACGAACGCUGGCGGCGUGCUUAACACAUGCAAGUCGAACGGAAAGGCCCUGCUUUUGUGGGGUGCUCGAGUGGCGAACGGGUGAGCAACACGUGAGUAACCUGCCCUUGACUUUGGGAUAACUUCAGGAAACUGGGGCUAAUACCGGAUAGGAGCUCCUGCUGCAUGGUGGGGGUUGGAAAGUUUCGGCGGUUGGGGAUGGACUCGCGGCUUAUCAGCUUGUUGGUGGGGUAGUGGCUUAUCAAGGCUUUGCCGGGUAGCCGGCCUGAGAGGGUGACCGGCCACAUUGGGACUGAGAUACGGCCCAGACUCCUACGGGAGGCAGCAGUGGGGAAUAUUGCACAAUGGGCGGAAGCCUGAUGCAGCAACGCCGCGUGCGGGAUGACGGCCUUCGGGUUGUAAACCGCUUUCGCCUGUGACGAAGCGUGAGUGACGGUAAUGGGUAAAGAAGCACCGGCUAACUACGUG